RNAcentral lists this ribosomal RNA (429 nucleotides) under Bacteroidota bacterium. RNAcentral describes it as "Bacteroidetes bacterium partial 16S ribosomal RNA". It matches the Rfam family "Bacterial small subunit ribosomal RNA", at positions 355 to 776 of the family's 1533-position model. The record is from RNAcentral. Lineage: Bacteria; Pseudomonadati; Bacteroidota.
UAGGGAAUCUUCGGCAAUGGGGGGAACCCUGACCGAGCAACGCCGCGUGAGUGAAGAAGGUUUUCGGAUCGUAAAGCUCUGUUGUUAAGUAAGAACGAGUGUGAUAAUGGAAAGUUCAUACUGUGACGGUACUUAACCAGAACGGGACGGCUAACUACGUGCCAGCCGCCGCGGUAAUACGUAGGUCCCGAGCGUUGUCCGGAUUUAUUGGGCGUAAAGCGAGCGCAGGCGGUUAGAUAAGUCUGAAGUUAAAGGCAGUGGCUCAACCAUUGUAGGCUUGGGAAACUGGGUAACUUGAGUGCAGAAGGGGGGAGUGGAAUUCCAGGUGUAGCGGUGAAAGGAGUAGAGAUAUGGAGGAAAACCAGUGGCGAAGGCGACUCUCUGGUCUGUAACUGACGCUGAGGCUAGAAAGCGUGGGUAGCAAACAGG